GUCAGUCUUUUCUAUGUCCCUCUUCCACAGAGAGGAAAAAACUCUCACAGUAUAGGCCUGGCGAAGAUUGCUGUUCUUUGAGACAGCUGCCUCCAAUGGUAAUGGAGAAACUUGGGUAUGGCUAACUGUAUGGACUGGCUUCUAACUGGCUUCUGUCACUUUUUAGUAGAUUCGGACAAAAUAUACCCUUCUCAGAUCUCUGAAAUAUUACUGGUUGUCAGCUUGACAGCAUCAGGCAGUCAGAUCCACUAUAAACUAGUCAGUAUGUUAGCUGAUAAAAUAGUGACUAUCUACUGUUCAGGCACAAGUUCAAAGUUUUUAAGUUUAUUUUGGUUGUCAUCUAAGUACAAACUUAAAGGGCUUUUCAUCAGGCCAAAGGCACCUCUGUCCAAUCCAUACCUGGCUCUCUGGACAGAAGAGAAAUGUACAUGCUUAUAGCCCAAAUCUAUAGUUUUUGCUAGUACUCAAAGUUAUAAAUAUGUUCCUGCUGUUUAAACAGCUAUCCAGAUAUCUGCUUUUUCUACACUGUGGGCUUCAGUAAAUAAGUUUUAACCUCUGUUCCUAGUUUAAACAUGUCUUAAACAGAUUUCUGCUUCUGGCUGACAUCUGAGUAUCAGUUGCUAACUACAGGCUGUUCUAAGUAGACUGCGAGCCCUGGACUUGCUGUGGAUGUGAACCAGUCCAGCUGAUAUGGACACCCCCUGUCUCUACAACAGUGUCUGCUAACCAGAAGCCCCUGAUGAAUUCCCCAUUGCCUAAAUUCCUUUUUGCUUUUGACUAGCAUUUCAACCUUCUGGGAAAUUUCGCCGCCCAUUUUCCCUGGUUAAAAUGCUAAGUCAAAAGGAACUCCCUUACAUGGGGAUGCCAGUAUCUAUCACUCCCUGAUGGGGAUGCUAGAGAGACAGCAAUUCCAUGAUUGGAAUUUACAAAAAAGAAAAUGGGGGAAUGAAGGAACCGGCUUCCCUUUUGGCAGCCAUAACAGCCGAACACAUGCUUGCCAUAAACCUGCCUUGGUCACUUAGAGGUCAGAUGCCUGUCUCGUGACAAGGAACCUUAGUCACUAAAAAGUCAGAUGCCUGUCUCGUG
This 1086-nucleotide long non-coding RNA is filed under the name Cricetulus griseus (Chinese hamster). Its description in RNAcentral is "lncRNA (ENSCGRG00015037532.1)". Lineage: Eukaryota; Metazoa; Chordata; Mammalia; Rodentia; Cricetidae. The record is from RNAcentral.